CCUACGGGAGGCAGCAGUAGGGAAUUUUCGGCAAUGGGGGGAACCCUGACCGAGCAACGCCGCGUGAACGAAGAAGUUAUUCGUAAUGUAAAGUUCUUUUAACAGGGAAGAAAGAGAAAUUUGACGGUACCUGAAGAAUAAGCUCCGGCUAACUACGUGCCAGCAGCCGCGGUAAUACGGAGGAUGCGAGCGUUAUCCGGAUUUAUUGGGUUUAAAGGGUGCGCAGGCGGAAGAUCAAGUCAGCGGUAAAAUUUAGAGGCUCAACCUCUUCGAGCCGUUGAAACUGGUUUUCUUGAGUGAGUGAGAAGUAUGCGGAAUGCGUGGUGUAGCGGUGAAAUGCAUAGAUAUCACGCAGAACUCCGAUUGCGAAGGCAGCAUACCGGCGCUCAACUGACGCUCAUGCACGAAAGUGUGGGUAUCGAACAGGAUUAGAUACCCCUGUAGUC
This 446-nucleotide ribosomal RNA is filed under the name uncultured bacterium. Its description in RNAcentral is "partial 16S ribosomal RNA". It matches the Rfam family "Bacterial small subunit ribosomal RNA", at positions 338 to 795 of the family's 1533-position model. The record is from RNAcentral.